Molecule: ribosomal RNA, 207 nt
Filed under: uncultured bacterium
Lineage: Bacteria
Description: partial 16S ribosomal RNA
Rfam family: Bacterial small subunit ribosomal RNA
Source: RNAcentral
CGCGUAGGCGGUUUGGUAAGUCGGAUGUGAAAGCCCCGGGCUUAACCUGGGAAUUGCAUUCGAUACUGCUUGACUAGAGUAUGGUAGAGGGAAGUGGAAUUCCAGGUGUAGCGGUGAAAUGCGUAGAUAUCUGGAGGAACAUCAGUGGCGAAGGCGACUUCCUGGACCAAUACUGACGCUGAGGUGCGAAAGCGUGGGAAGCAAACA